Molecule: ribosomal RNA, 253 nt
Filed under: uncultured bacterium
Lineage: Bacteria
Description: partial 16S ribosomal RNA
Rfam family: Bacterial small subunit ribosomal RNA
Source: RNAcentral
UACGAAGGGGGCGAGCGUUGUUCGGAUUUACUGGGCGUAAAGGGCGCGCAGGCGGCCAUUCAAGUCAGGCGUGAAAGUCCUGGGCUCAACCUGGGAACUGCGCUUGAUACGGCAGAGCUAGAGGAUGGAAGAGGCUCGCGGAAUUCCCAGUGUAGAGGUGAAAUUCGUAGAUAUUAGGAAGAACACCAGUGGCGAAGGCGGCUCACUGGUCCGGUACUGACGCUGAGGUGCGAAAGCGUGGGGAGCAAACAGG